ACCAUCCUCAUGCCACUUCGAAAAUCCUUCUUCAAGGACCUUUCUCAUCCAUGGGUGCCUGCAACAUUCAAUUGCCUCAGGAAUUGUCAGCCAACUUCUUUUUCGGCGGCUCUGUUCUGGCCAACAGUCAAGCUCUUCCUUAACAAACAAAGCGAACAUGGCAGCUCUACACAGACCUUCUGGACUGAACUCGUCCUGAAGUGUUUUGCUUUUAAAGGGGUAGUAUCCCAAAAAAUGCACUAUAUCCCCACGAACUCCAGCCUCCUCUAUGGCUUCACGAACAGCUGCCUCUUUA
Molecule: unclassified non-coding RNA, 295 nt
Filed under: Hevea brasiliensis (rubber tree)
Lineage: Eukaryota; Viridiplantae; Streptophyta; Magnoliopsida; Malpighiales; Euphorbiaceae
Source: RNAcentral